UGGAGGAAGCUUAUGUGCUGGAGG
This 24-nucleotide non-coding RNA is filed under the name Arabidopsis thaliana (thale cress). The record is from RNAcentral. Lineage: Eukaryota; Viridiplantae; Streptophyta; Magnoliopsida; Brassicales; Brassicaceae.